AUUGAACGCUGGCGGCAGGCCUAACACAUGCAAGUCGAAUGGUAACAGGAAACAGCUUGCUGUUUCGCUGACGAGUGGCGGACGGGUGAGUAAUGUCUGGGAAACUGCCUGAUGGAGGGGGAUAACUACUGGAAACGGUAGCUAAUACCGCAUAACGUCGCAAGACCAAAGAGGGGGACCUUCGGGCCUCUUGCCAUCAGAUGUGCCCAGAUGGGAUUAGCUAGUAGGUGGGGUAACGGCUCACCUAGGCGACGAUCCCUAGCUGGUCUGAGAGGAUGACGAGCCACACUGGAACUGAGACACGGUCCAGACUCCUACGGGAGGCAGAAGUGGGGAAUAUUGCACAAUGGGCGCAAGCCUGAUGCAGCCAUGCCGCGUGUAUGAAGAAGGCCUUCGGGUUGUAAAGUACUUUCAGCGGGGAGGAAGGGAGUAAAGUUAAUACCUUUGCUCAUUGACGUUACCCGCAGAAGAAGCACCGGCUAACUCCGUG
RNAcentral lists this ribosomal RNA (490 nucleotides) under uncultured bacterium. RNAcentral's name for it is "partial 16S ribosomal RNA". It matches the Rfam family "Bacterial small subunit ribosomal RNA", at positions 30 to 507 of the family's 1533-position model. The record is from RNAcentral.